RNAcentral lists this ribosomal RNA (460 nucleotides) under uncultured bacterium. RNAcentral describes it as "partial 16S ribosomal RNA". It matches the Rfam family "Bacterial small subunit ribosomal RNA", at positions 338 to 795 of the family's 1533-position model. The record is from RNAcentral.
CCUACGGGAGGCAGCAGUGAGGAAUAUUGGUCAAUGGACGAGAGUCUGAACCAGCCAAGUCGCGUGAAGGAUGACUGCCCUAUGGGUUGUAAACUUCUUUUAUAAAGGAAUAAAACGAGGCACGUGUGCCUUUUUGCAUGUACUUUAUGAAUAAGGAUCGGCUAACUCCGUGCCAGCAGCCGCGGUAAUACGGAGGAUCCGAGCGUUAUCCGGAUUUAUUGGGUUUAAAGGGAGCGUAGAUGGGUUGUUAAGUCAGUUGUGAAAGUUUGCGGCUCAACCGUAAAAUUGCAAUUGAUACUGGCAGUCUUGAGUACAGUUGAGGUAAGCGGAAUUCGUGGUGUAGCGGUGAAAUGCUUAGAUAUCACGAAGAACCCCGAUUGCGAAGGCAGCUUACUAAACUGUGACUGACACUGAUGCUCGAAAGUGUGGGGAUCAAACAGGAUUAGAUACCCUUGUAGUC